AGAAGCCGUCACCGAGAAGAGCCACACAAGAUAAUCCCAACUUUGGCGGGAUCAAAAAUGAGGCCACAAACCUCACAAGUUUUUCAACAGAACCGUAUUUGGCUACAGCUAGCUAUACAUAAGUCGCCUGAUUUUUAAAUUUGGGUAAGUCCUUUAUUUUUCUUGUGCUGUUGUAUGACUUUUUUUUUUGCGGGUGGCUGUUGUAUGACUUCUUAGGUUGAUUUUUGACUUCCCCCUGUUUAGGCAAGUCGAUUUUUCCUUAGGCUGGAUUUUUUACUUCGUUUUUUCUUAGGCUGCAUAUUGCAUUUUUUUUGUUUCUAGUGUUUUUGCCUUUUCUUUUAUUUAUAUUUUAGUCGGUUUUCUUUUCAUGGGUAUUUUUGGUAUAAGUUUUUUUUAUAACAUAGUACAAUCGCAGAUGCCCGUAUACACACACAUACACUCACUGUAAGAAGGCACGCAGGCACACUUGAUCGCCGGUAUGUUUGAAAUAAAUUAAGAAAAAUGCGAGCACCGGUGCCAAGUCUAGGAUUUGAACCUUGGUGGGAUGGUUCCACCACAAGGGUUCACAACAUAGGUAUUUUUGGCAUCACUUUAGUUGUAUGUAAGUCGCCUAAAAAUUGAUUUUCAGCCAAUCAAUUUUUUUGGCCCUUGAUUUUUGCUUAGAGUUUCGUGUUCUUUUCUGUUAUGUUCCGUGAGUUGUUUUGAGCUGGGGUUUUUCAACUCACCAUAUAUUUGGCUUAGUCAAUUCCUUAAUGGGUUGAAGCCAUUACCUAUGCGAUCCAGCCCUCCCCUCUCUACCUUUGUUCUUUGUGUUUUACUGUUUUUAUUUGUUUUGCUUUUGCUUUUUGUUUUUCAUUAUUAGUCAUUUUUUGUGGGUUUUUCGAGAUGUUGGGUGAUUGUAAAUGUAUAUACACAUAUAAUAUAAUAUAAAAUAUAUGCAAAAGUUGCACUAUUAUGUGAGUAUUCCAUGCAUAUUGUGAAAAUGUGCAAUUUCGGUGUAAAGUUGUGUGCAAGCUUUUUUAUAAUUUAUUUUAUUAUUUUGUUUUUUCUUAAAGGGUAACAAUAAUGCCACUGAUUCAUUGUUUCUUAUAAAACUUCAUUAUUUUGAUUUUGUUUUAGUAUUAUUUUAUUUCCUUUUUAAGGGUAACACUAAUGCCUCUAAUUCAUUCCUUCUUAGGAAAUUUGUUCUGCGUAAAUUUCACUAUUAUAUGUUUAGUCUUACAUAUUUGGAAAAAGCACAAUUUUUUGUAUACACGGCGUGAAUUGUGCCACUAUUUGCUUUAGUUUUUUUCUUUCUUCUUAAAGGGUAAUACCAGUGUCAUUAAUUCAUUCUUCGUUAGAAAAUCUCAUUAUUUUUGUUUUAAUUUAGCUUUAAUUUUAAUUUUUCUUCUUCUUAAAGGGUAAUACCAAAGCCACUAAUUCAUUCAUUCUUUCUUAGAGAACUUCAUUGUUUUGAUUUUGUUAAGUUUAUAUUUCAUUUUAUUUCUUCUUCAAUACCAAUACCACUAAUUCAUUUUUCCUAGGAAAUCUCUUUUCCUGAAAUUUCACUAUUAUAUUCUUAUUCUUUCAUAUUAUAAAAAGCACAAUUUUUUUAGUAAAAUUGUGUGCAAAUCUUGUCAAUAUUUGUUGUCAUUUUAUUUAUUUUCAAAGGGUAGUACCAAACAUCACUAAUUAUUUCUUUCUUAGAAAACUUUAUUAUUCUAUUUUUGUUUUAGUUUUUAUUUUAGUUUCUUUCUUCUUCAAGCGUAAUACCAAAGCCACUAGUUCAUUAUUUCUUAGAAACACUUUAUUAUUUUGGAUUUAGUUUUAAUAUUAGUUCAUUUUCUUUCUUCUUUAAAGGUAAUACUAAUGCCACUGAUGCGGCUUGAACUACGCCAAUAUUUCCCCAAAGAGGAAGGGAUGAUGCAGCACAACAUUUCCCUCAGUGAUGAGACCAAGG
Molecule: long non-coding RNA, 1939 nt
Filed under: Triticum aestivum (bread wheat)
Lineage: Eukaryota; Viridiplantae; Streptophyta; Magnoliopsida; Poales; Poaceae
Description: long non-coding RNA (TAES_LNC005881)
Source: RNAcentral